This 124-nucleotide ribosomal RNA is filed under the name Cryptantha simulans. RNAcentral describes it as "5.8S ribosomal RNA". It matches the Rfam family "5.8S ribosomal RNA", at positions 36 to 154 of the family's 154-position model. Rfam says of the family: 5.8S ribosomal RNA (5.8S rRNA) is a component of the large subunit of the eukaryotic ribosome. It is transcribed by RNA polymerase I as part of the 45S precursor that also contains 18S and 28S rRNA. The record is from RNAcentral. Lineage: Eukaryota; Viridiplantae; Streptophyta; Magnoliopsida; Boraginales; Boraginaceae.
AUGAAGAACGUAGCGAAAUGCGAUACUUGGUGUGAAUUGCAGAAUCCCGUGAACCAUCGAGUCUUUGAACGCAAGUUGCGCCCGAGGCCAUUAGGCUUAGGGCACGUCUGCCUGGGCGUCACGC